AAUGAAUUUCCUAAUUCUCCAGGUGGGCACCUGAUGUUGACUUAAAACCUGAAAUGAAUUCUCUCGUUCUCCAGGUGGGUGCCUGAUGACUUACACUUGAAAUGAAUUCCCUCGUUCUCCAGGUGGGCGCCUGAUGACUUAAAACUUGAAAUAAAUUCCCUCAUUCUCCAGGUGGGCGCCUGCUGACUUAAAAACUUAAAAUAAAUUCCCUCAUUUUCCAGGUGGGUGCCUGAUGACUUAAAACUUGAAAUAAAUUCUCUCGUUCUCCAGGUGGGCGCCUAAUGACUUAAACUUGAAAUGAAUUCCCUCAUUCUCCAGGUGGGCGCCUGAUACUACAACAAAAUAGACAAAACAAAAGAAACUUUUCUACCCCAGUUUGCACUAGGAAGAUUUGUGAAUUGUUAGCAGAACUAUAAAUCACUUAUGUUAUUGAUGAAUGAUGCAAUGAUGAGAGUAAAAUUAAAGACUCGACUAGGAUGUGCAUCUCCUAAAGAAAUAAAAAUCUGAAAAACCUAAACUAGGAAGUGUGUCUCCUAAAUUUGAGAUUGAGCUUGCGGAAAAUGAGGGAAAAUGAGAUUGACCCUUUCUUUUUUUAAAAAAAAAAAAAAUCCAGACUUCCCUUUUUUCUUAACUUAUUAUCCUAGGAGAAAAUUCAUUAGACUAGAUUUUAAUCUUAGGAGAAAAAUUCAUCAGACUAAGAUUUUGAUCCUAGGAGAAAAUUCAUCAAACUAAGUCUUUUUUCUUUUUCUUUUUUUGGUAUCUUAGGAGAAAGAUUCAUCAGACUAAGAUUUCGAUCCUAGGAGAAAAUUUAUCAGACUAGGUCUCUUUUUUAUUAUCUUAGGAGAAAGAUUCAUCAGACUAAAACGUUUAUCCUAGGAGAAUGAUUCAUCAGACUAAGACUUCGAUCCUAGGAGAAAGUUCAUCAGACUAGGUCU
This 935-nucleotide long non-coding RNA is filed under the name Nicotiana tabacum (common tobacco). RNAcentral's name for it is "long non-coding RNA (NTAB_LNC016486)". Lineage: Eukaryota; Viridiplantae; Streptophyta; Magnoliopsida; Solanales; Solanaceae. The record is from RNAcentral.